RNAcentral lists this unclassified non-coding RNA (296 nucleotides) under Hevea brasiliensis (rubber tree). Lineage: Eukaryota; Viridiplantae; Streptophyta; Magnoliopsida; Malpighiales; Euphorbiaceae. The record is from RNAcentral.
AAAACAAACACACAAAAGAAACAAACAGACUCACAGUAUACAUGCUAAAUCCAAUUUUUUUUUACAGUGUUUGCUUUUUCAUAGACUGGGGCUGUCGGUUUUUCGUAAUGGACGAAAAUCAGUGGCAUAAUAGAUAGGGGCAACCACCCUUUAUAGAAAAUCCCACUCACUGUUCUGCCUCAUUUAAGGGUAACGUGUUCUCAUUUGGGGUAAAUUCCUUGGCUUGAAAGCAAAAUCAUUGGCUUAUCUUAGAAGACACUAGAAAUCCCCCAAAAUAAGCAGGAACUCUACUAAAA